RNAcentral lists this transfer RNA (64 nucleotides) under Apis mellifera capensis (Cape honeybee). Its description in RNAcentral is "tRNA-Glu". Lineage: Eukaryota; Metazoa; Arthropoda; Insecta; Hymenoptera; Apidae. The record is from RNAcentral.
UAUAUAGUUUAAAAAAAAACAUUAUAUUUUCAAUAUAAAAAUAAUUAAAUUUAAUUUAUAAAUA